Molecule: ribosomal RNA, 465 nt
Filed under: Vreelandella stevensii
Lineage: Bacteria; Pseudomonadati; Pseudomonadota; Gammaproteobacteria; Oceanospirillales; Halomonadaceae
Description: partial 16S ribosomal RNA
Rfam family: Bacterial small subunit ribosomal RNA
Source: RNAcentral
CCUACGCGGAGCAGCAGUGGGGAAUAUUGGACAAUGGGCGAAAGCCUGAUCCAGCCAUGCCGCGUGUGUGAAGAAGGCCUUCGGGUUGUAAAGCACUUUCAGUGGGGAAGAAAGCCUUGGGGCUAAUACCCUCGAGGAAGGACAUCACCCACAGAAGAAGCACCGGCUAACUCCGUGCCAGCAGCCGCGGUAAUACGGAGGGUGCGAGCGUUAAUCGGAAUUACUGGGCGUAAAGCGCGCGUAGGCGGUCUGAUAAGCCGGUUGUGAAAGCCCCGGGCUCAACCUGGGAACGGCAUCCGGAACUGUCAGGCUAGAGUGCAGGAGAGGAAGGUAGAAUUCCCGGUGUAGCGGUGAAAUGCGUAGAGAUCGGGAGGAAUACCAGUGGCGAAGGCGGCCUUCUGGACUGACACUGACGCUGAGGUGCGAAAGCGUGGGUAGCAAACAGGAUUAGAUACCCCAGUAGUC